This 18-nucleotide small nuclear RNA is filed under the name Arabidopsis thaliana (thale cress). Its description in RNAcentral is "snRNA_11277". Lineage: Eukaryota; Viridiplantae; Streptophyta; Magnoliopsida; Brassicales; Brassicaceae. The record is from RNAcentral.
UACCGGUUCUGACCUUCA